ACACACUUUAAGACCCCCAGUACUGAUCAGUGACUGUCCAGUCCUUUCUCAGACACUGACACAGGCAGCAUUAUGAUGAUGUCAGUCUUUCUCCUGCUGGUGAUGUUGGGACUGUUUGUACAUGAAUCAAUGGCAGAUAUAGUAGUGACUCAGUCUCCAUCAGCUCAGGCUGUUCAGCAGGGAGACACUGUCUCUAUCAGCUGUAGAGUCAGUCAGAGUGUUGAUGAUGACGACGGUGAUUCUGCUCUCAGCUGGUACCUGCAGAAACCUGGUCAGGCUCCGAAACUUCUGAUUUAUGAUGCCACAACACGCGAGUCUGGGAUUCCUGAUCGUUUCAGUGGGAGUGGAUCUGGGACUCAGUUUACACUGAAAAUCACUGGAGUCCAGACUGAAGAUGCAGGAGAGUAUUACUGUCAGAGUUACCACUACAUCAACAGUAAAAAUGUGUUCACACAGUGAUACAGAGCCGUACAAAAACCUCCCUCAGUCAGACUGCAUAGAGACUGCACUGCUGCAGCUGGGACCUACUGCAGGUGCUGAGGGGGGAGGCACUGACCCGAGACACUGAGGGCCUCUGCUCUAAAACACUGAACUACAUUGUGCAAUAAUAACUCACAUAUUCUCAAAUUUAAUGCACUUUAUCUCAAUGUAAAUGACAAUCUUCUUCUAAGGGUCAAUUUUUUUAGUAUGUUUAAAACGUCUCAUUUAAAAAACAAAAAACACUUGAGACAUGAUGAGAAAUUUGGCUCAUUUUCUCUAAAACAGAGUACAUAUUUUGAUGAUCAUUUUUGUGCAUACUCUAUUAGAGAUUUCAACAGGGUUAAAUCAUAAUUUGAUACAAAACAGGUUUUUUUAUGUUGGUCAUGGUUACCUUAAAUUUGACGAGGGGAUCCUGUACGUUUCCUGGAUAAUAUAUUCAUAAAACAUUUUUUAAACUAUUUUGUCAUUUCGCACACGCUUUUAAUCCAAAGCAAUUUACAAGUGCAUAGGUUCUUCCACAGGUUAAAAGCAUCAAAUCCAGAACUCGUAAAAGACGCAUGAAGGGCUGUUCUCAACAAAAAGAUAACAGUCAUCAGACCGCAGGGAGGGAGGAAUGUUCUCCACACUCUGACAGAGACCCCAGGGAGGGAGGAAUGUUCUCCACACUCUGACACUGUUCCUCUUACUCUUUCCCAAACUCCAUAUUCACAUACAUGUUCUCCAGAAACUUAAUUUUCUUCCUGGCCUGUGUAAAAGCAUUGACACGUCAAAGGGUAUUUAUGUCUGUCCUUUUCUUAGAGGUAGGUGUGAGUAAAAUUCAUUGUUUUUAAGCUGUCAUCAUGAUUUGAGGCAUUUUUAUGGUUAUUACAAAUAUAUUUCAGGACAAUUUUUGACAAAUGCGCCCUACCUCAUUAAAUCAGUGUUGUUUGGGUUGUGCUUCCAGAACACUCAAUCCAUACAUCACAUAAGCUGCAAUUACACACACCAACCACAGGAGGAGCCAGAGUGCUACUGUUGCUCCAACUGUAAAAGUACUACAGCAGGGGUUCUCAACCCAACACCCCUACUUGAGGCUAUCUACUUGAACAGCAUCCAAUGCAACAUUAUUUAGCAAUGAGACAAAAUUAAUCAACUGAACAAACUAGCAACUACAAAAUUAACAAAUACAGCACAUCCAAAGGAAGUUAACAGCAAACCUACUGUGAAAACGUAGUCUAAAUGUAAAAGAAAAAAAAAAGAAAAAAAAGAAAGAAGCUAAUUGAACUAUUGGCUACAUUACCUUUAAUGUUAUGAGAUAUGUAUGUGUCAUGUUCAGAAGUGGUGGCUGCUACACCUCUAACUCUCUUCCAUCUUAAUACAGUUCUGUGGUGCUGUUCUACGAGGGUCUUGUCCCAGUACAAAACAGAACAUCCUACAGGCUAAAAACCAUGAACAUUGUCUUGUGCUAUCAUCAGUAGCAGUACUGAUAAAUGAAAUCACAUUUAAUGUAAUGUGAUGUAAAAACACCCCCUAUAAUCGUCCAAACGCCGACCUCUCACCCAUGGUGCUUCCAGCGCCCCAUUGCAAUGUCAGAACGGCCCCUGGGGGGUGGUACCACCCUCAUUGAGAAACCGUGCACUACAGUAUAAUAUGAGAGAGGAAACCACGG
This is a long non-coding RNA of Conger conger (European conger), 2128 nucleotides long. RefSeq lists it as uncharacterized. The record is from RefSeq and is a predicted model, not a curated record. The transcript is spliced from 3 exons. Lineage: Eukaryota; Metazoa; Chordata; Actinopteri; Anguilliformes; Congridae.